This 492-nucleotide ribosomal RNA is filed under the name Triticum aestivum (bread wheat). RNAcentral describes it as "partial small subunit ribosomal RNA". Lineage: Eukaryota; Viridiplantae; Streptophyta; Magnoliopsida; Poales; Poaceae. The record is from RNAcentral.
GUUUUUUCUUCCGAUCCCAUUGAUGUCUUAAACAUCAAACUUAAGAGAUUUAAGUCGUACUUUAAAGGAUGGGGUUCGGAUAGAUUUGGUCAUGAUAAGAAAAGAAAGGAAGACCUUCGGAUGGAGUUGGAGAUGCUGGAAGAAGUAGAAGAAGAGGCCCCUCUCUCCCCUGAGCUAUAUACUAGAAAGAUUGAUAUUUGUUUUGAGCUUCAUGAGCUGCUUGUCAAUGAGGAAAUUUUUUGGCUACAACAAUCGCACGAGCGGUGGUUGCUCAAAGGGGACUUGAACACUGAUUAUUUCCAUCGUAUAGCGAAUGGACGUAAAAGGAAAAACACGAUCCACUCCCUUAAGGCUGGCGACGUGGAGAUUGAGGGCACUGAUAAGCUGAUUGAGCAUGCCACGGAGUUCUAUAGAGAAUUGUUCGGUCCUGCUCCUGGAAAUCAGUUUAAUCUUGACCCUGACACCUGGGCGCCUGAGGAAAGGCUGAGUGAG